AUUGAACGCUGGCGGCAGGCUUAACACAUGCAAGUCGAGCGGGGGAAGGUAGCUUGCUACUGGACCUAGCGGCGGACGGGUGAGUAAUGCUUAGGAAUCUGCCUAUUAGUGGGGGACAACAUCUCGAAAGGGAUGCUAAUACCGCAUACGUCCUACGGGGGAAAGCAGGGGAUCUUCGGACCUUGCGCUAAUAGAUGAGCCUAAGUCGGAUUAGCUAGUUGGUGGGGUAAAGGCCUACCAAGGCGACGAUCUGUAGCGGGUCUGAGAGGAUGAUCCGCCACACUGGGACUGGGACACGGCCCAGACUCCUACGGGAGGCAGCAGUGGGGAAUAUUGGACAAUGGGGGGAACCCUGAUCCAGCCAUGCCGCGUGUGUGAAGAAGGCCUUAUGGUUGUAAAGCACUUUAAGCGAGGAGGAGGCUACUCUAGUUAAUACCUAGGGAUAGUGGACGUUACUCGCAGAAUAAGCACCGGCUAACUCUGUGCCAGCCGCCGCCGUAA
This 501-nucleotide ribosomal RNA is filed under the name uncultured bacterium. RNAcentral's name for it is "partial 16S ribosomal RNA". It matches the Rfam family "Bacterial small subunit ribosomal RNA", at positions 30 to 523 of the family's 1533-position model. The record is from RNAcentral.